CCAAACUUGGUCAUUUAGAGGAAGUACAAGUCGUAACAAGGUUUCCGUAGGUGAACCUGCGGAAGGAUCAAUCUGGGACUUUAAGUAGCCUUUGUGGUUACAUGCCUCAAGUCAUUACACCCGUUGCACCUGUGCCUGUUUGUCCCCGUCAGAUGCCUGUCGGGGGUUGGACAUGACAUCAUUACACACUCAUUGUGGUUGCAGAAUGUGCAUUGUUGGCUUUUGCGCCUGCUUAACAUCACAACUUUCAACGAUGGAUCUCUUGGCUCUCGCAUCGAUGAAGAACGCAGC
Molecule: unclassified non-coding RNA, 291 nt
Filed under: uncultured fungus
Lineage: Eukaryota; Fungi
Description: partial contains small subunit ribosomal RNA, internal transcribed spacer 1, and 5.8S ribosomal RNA
Rfam family: Eukaryotic small subunit ribosomal RNA (bases 1-73)
Source: RNAcentral